GGAGUCGGCCAGGCAAUCGUCGCUUAUGUUUCUCGCUACCUCUCUUGAGUGGUAGGGGGUGCAGAGGGGAGGAAAGUCCGGGCUCCACAGGGCAGGGUGCCAGGUAAUACCUGGGGGGCGUGAGCCUACGGAAAGUGCAGCAGAGAGCAGACCGCCGAUGGCCUGAUGUUGAGUCAGGCACAGGUAAGGGUGAAAGGGUGCGGUAAGAGCGCACCGCGCAACUGGUAACAGAUUGUGGCACGGUAAACCCCAUCCGGAGCAAGACCAAAUAGGAAUCCAUUGGCGUGGCCCGCGCUGGAUUCGGGUAGGUUGCUGGAGGUGUACGGUGACGUGCACCCUAGAUGAAUGAUUGCCCAAGACAGAACCCGGCUUAUCGGCUGACUCCGAUU
RNAcentral lists this RNase P RNA (389 nucleotides) under Pseudomonadales bacterium. Its description in RNAcentral is "RNase P RNA component class A". It matches the Rfam family "Bacterial RNase P class A". From Rfam's summary of the family: Ribonuclease P (RNase P) is a ubiquitous endoribonuclease, found in archaea, bacteria and eukarya as well as chloroplasts and mitochondria. Its best characterised activity is the generation of mature 5'-ends of tRNAs by cleaving the 5'-leader elements of precursor-tRNAs. Lineage: Bacteria; Pseudomonadati; Pseudomonadota; Gammaproteobacteria; Pseudomonadales. The record is from RNAcentral.